UACGAAGGGUGCAAGCGUUACUCGGAAUUACUGGGCGUAAAGCGUGCGUAGGUGGUUCGUUAAGUCUGAUGUGAAAGCCCUGGGCUCAACCUGGGAAUGGCAUUGGAAACUGGCGACCUAGAGUGCGGUAGAGGGUAGUGGAAUUCCCGGUGUAGCAGUGAAAUGCGUAGAGAUCGGGAGGAACAUCCGUGGCGAAGGCGGCUUCCUGGGCCGCGCCUGACGCUGAGACGCGAAAGCGUGGGGAGCGAACGGG
RNAcentral lists this ribosomal RNA (253 nucleotides) under uncultured bacterium. Its description in RNAcentral is "partial 16S ribosomal RNA". It matches the Rfam family "Bacterial small subunit ribosomal RNA", at positions 524 to 776 of the family's 1533-position model. The record is from RNAcentral.